AUAUGGUAGUCUGUUAGUAUAGUUGAAGGAUUUGGAAAAUUCCGCUAAAGAGGGUGAAAGCCCCGUAGACGAAAUGCUGACAACACCUAGGAGGAUCCUGAGUACGGCGGAACACGAGAAAUUCCGUCGGAAUCCGCGGGGACCAUCCCGCAAGGCUAAAUACUCCCUAGUGACCGAUAGUGAACCAGUACCGUGAGGGAAAGGUGAAAAGCACCCCGGAAGGGGAGUGAAAUAGAUCCUGAAACCGUGUGCCUACAACAAGUCAAAGCUCGUUAAUGAGUGAUGGCGUGCCUUUUGUAGAAUGAACCGGCGAGUUACGAUUGCAUGCGAGGUUAAGUCGAAGAGACGGAGCCGCAGCGAAAGCGAGUCUGAAUAGGGCGAAUGAGUAUGUAGUCGUAGACCCGAAACCAUGUGAUCUACCCAUGUCCAGGUUGAAGGUGCGGUAAAACGCACUGGAGGACCGAACCCACGUACGUUGAAAAGUGCGGGGAUGAGGUGUGGGUAGCGGAGAAAUUCCAAACGAACUUGGAGAUAGCUGGUUCUCUCCGAAAUAGCUUUAGGGCUAGCCUCGGAAUUGAGAAUCCGUAGUCGAAAGGGAAACAGCCCAGACCACCAGCUAAGGUCCCAAAAUAUAUGUUAAGUGGAAAAGGAUGUGGGGUUGCACAGACAACUAGGAUGUUGGCUUAGAAGCAGCCACCAUUUAAAGAGUGCGUAAUAGCUCACUAGUCGAGUGACCCUGCGCCGAAAAUGUACCGGGGCUAAACAUAUUACCGAAGCUGUGGACUACACCAUUAGGUGUAGUGGUAGGAGAGCGUUCUAAGGGCGUUGAAGGUCGAUCGUGAGGACGGCUGGAGCGCUUAGAAGUGAGAAUGCCGGUAUGAGUAGCGAAAGACAGGUGAGAAUCCUGUCCACCGUAUGACUAAGGUUUCCUGGGGAAGGCUCGUCCGCCCAGGGUUAGUCGGGACCUAAGCCGAGGCCGAUAGGCGUAGGCGAUGGACAACAGGUUGAUAUUCCUGUACCAGUUGUUUUUGUUUGAGCAAUGGAGGGACGCAGUAGGCUAAGGAAUGCAUGCGAUUGGAAGUGCAUGUCCAAGCAAUGAGUCUUGAGUAGAGUUAAAUGCUUUACUCUCUAAGGACAAGUUGUGACGGGGAGCGAAAUAAUAGUAGCGAAGUUCCUGAUGUCACACUGCCAAGAAAAGCUUCUAGUGAGAAAACAACUGCCCGUACCGUAAACCGACACAGGUAGUCGAGGAGAGUAUCCUAAGGUGAGCGAGCGAACUCUCGUUAAGGAACUCGGCAAAAUGACCCCGUAACUUCGGGAGAAGGGGUGCUGACUUCGGUCAGCCGCAGUGAAUAGGCCCAAGCGACUGUUUAUCAAAAACACAGGUCUCUGCAAAAUCGUAAGAUGAAGUAUAGGGGCUGACGCCUGCCCGGUGCUGGAAGGUUAAGAGGAUGGGUUAGCUUCGGCGAAGCUCAGAAUUGAAGCCCCAGUAAACGGCGGCCGUAACUAUAACGGUCCUAAGGUAGCGAAAUUCCUUGUCGGGUAAGUUCCGACCCGCACGAAAGGCGUAACGAUUUGG
Molecule: ribosomal RNA, 1579 nt
Filed under: Klebsiella pneumoniae
Lineage: Bacteria; Pseudomonadati; Pseudomonadota; Gammaproteobacteria; Enterobacterales; Enterobacteriaceae
Description: partial 23S ribosomal RNA
Rfam family: Bacterial large subunit ribosomal RNA
Source: RNAcentral